RNAcentral lists this transfer RNA (71 nucleotides) under Callospermophilus lateralis (golden-mantled ground squirrel). RNAcentral's name for it is "tRNA-Val". It matches the Rfam family "tRNA". Rfam says of the family: Transfer RNA (tRNA) molecules are approximately 80 nucleotides in length. Their secondary structure includes four short double-helical elements and three loops (D, anti-codon, and T loops). Further hydrogen bonds mediate the characteristic L-shaped molecular structure. tRNAs have two regions of fundamental functional importance: the anti-codon, which is responsible for specific mRNA codon recognition, and the 3' end, to which the tRNAs corresponding amino acid is attached (by aminoacyl-tRNA synthetases). tRNAs cope with the degeneracy of the genetic code in two manners: having more than one tRNA (with a specific anti-codon) for a particular amino acid; and 'wobble' base-pairing, i.e. permitting non-standard base-pairing at the 3rd anti-codon position. Lineage: Eukaryota; Metazoa; Chordata; Mammalia; Rodentia; Sciuridae. The record is from RNAcentral.
CAAAAUGUAGCUUAAUAGCUUAAAGCACCCGGCUUACACCCGAGAGAUUUCACUCACUAUGAACAUUUUGA